GGGGGAUAACACUGAGAAAUCGGUACUAAUACCCCAUAAUAUUCUGGGAGGCAUCUUUCGGAGUUGAAAGCUUUGGUGGUAAAGGAUGGGCAUGCGUUGUAUUAGCUAGUUGGUAAGGUAACGGCUUACCAAGGCGACGAUACAUAGGGGGACUGAGAGGUUAACCCCCCACAUUGGUACUGAGACACGGACCAAACUCCUACGGGAGGCAGCAGUGAGGAAUAUUGGUCAAUGGACGGAAGUCUGAACCAGCCAUGCCGCGUGCAGGAAGACGGCUCUAUGAGUUGUAAACUGCUUUUGUACGAGGGUAAACGCAGAUACGUGUAUCUGCCUGAAAGUAUCGUACGAAUAAGGAUCGGCUAACUCCGUGCCAGCAGCCGCGGUAAUACGGAGGAUCCAAGCGUUAUCCGGAUUUAUUGGGUUUAAAGGGUGCGUAGGCGGUUUAGUAAGUCAGCGGUGAAAUUUUGGUGCUUAACACCAAACGUGCCGUUGAUACUGCUGGGCUAGAGAGUAGUUGCGGUAGGCGGAAUGUAUGGUGUAGCGGUGAAAUGCUUAGAGAUCAUACAGAACACCGAUUGCGAAGGCAGCU
RNAcentral lists this ribosomal RNA (589 nucleotides) under uncultured Bacteroidales bacterium. RNAcentral's name for it is "bacterial SSU rRNA". It matches the Rfam family "Bacterial small subunit ribosomal RNA", at positions 138 to 726 of the family's 1533-position model. Lineage: Bacteria; Pseudomonadati; Bacteroidota; Bacteroidia; Bacteroidales. The record is from RNAcentral.